GAUGAACGCUGGCGGCGUGCCUAAUACAUGCAAGUCGAGCGAACGGACGAGAAUCUUGCUUUUCUGAUGUUAGCGGCGGACGGGUGAGUAACACGUGGAUAACCUACCUAUAAGACUGGGAUAACUUCGGGAAACCGGAGCUAAUACCGGAUAAUAUUUUGAACCGCAUGGUUCAAAAGUUUAAGACGGUCUUGCUGUCACUUAUAGCUGGAUCCGCGCUGCAUUAGCUAGUUGGUAAGGUAACGGCUUACCAAGGCAACGAUGCAUAGCCGACCUGAGAGGGUGAUCGGCCACACUGGAACUGAGACACGGUCCAGACUCCUACGGGAGGCAGCAGUAGGGAAUCUUGCGCAAUGGGCGAAAGCCUGACGGAGCAACGCCGCGUGAGUGAUGAAGGUCUUCGGAUCGUAAAACUCUGUUAUUAGGGAAGACCAUAUGUGUAAGUAACUGUGCACAUCUUGACGGUACCUAAUCAGAAAGCCACGGCUAACUACGUG
This 497-nucleotide ribosomal RNA is filed under the name uncultured bacterium. RNAcentral's name for it is "partial 16S ribosomal RNA". It matches the Rfam family "Bacterial small subunit ribosomal RNA", at positions 28 to 507 of the family's 1533-position model. The record is from RNAcentral.